CUUAGCGAACUGAAACAUCUGAGUAGCUAAAGGAAGGAAAAUCAACCGAGACCCCGUUAGUAGCGGCGAGCGAGAGCGGAACAAGGGUUUUCAUCAAAAGAAAUCCGAAGCGGUUUCAUUCGAUUUGUUGUGGAUUGGAUGAUGGAAAAACCAGCAAGCAGCAAGCGUAGGCUGUGUUGCCGUAGCGCGCCCUACGGAGUUGUACAAAGUCAGCAACCGUUUUGGGGCGCAAGCAUAGGCAACACAGGACUGAUGACGGGGUGGGGCGCGCAGUGAACUGGUUUUCUAAAAAGAUUGGAAGAUCCGGCCAAAGAAGGUGAUAGCCCUGUUCAUUCGUUCCCAUGGUUCGAUCCUUCCCAGUAAAACGCGGCGUGUUCGAAUGAUGAUCGCUUUUACGCGAGAAAGGGGGACCACCCUCUAAGCCUAAGUAUUCCUCAAUGACCGAUAGCGUACAAGUACCGUGAGGGAAAGGUGAAAAGAACCCCAAUCGGGGAGUGCAAUAGAGAACCUGAGAUCCGAUGCGAACAAUCAG
Molecule: ribosomal RNA, 532 nt
Filed under: Oryza sativa Japonica Group (Japanese rice)
Lineage: Eukaryota; Viridiplantae; Streptophyta; Magnoliopsida; Poales; Poaceae
Also listed under: 1 other name
Description: rRNA LSU_rRNA_eukarya
Rfam family: Bacterial large subunit ribosomal RNA
Source: RNAcentral